UGGCUCAGGAUGAACGCUAGCUACAGGCUUAACACAUGCAAGUCGAGGGGAAACGACAUCGAAAGCUUGCUUUGAUGGGCGUCGACCGGCGCACGGGUGAGUAACGCGUAUCCAACCUGCCCACCACUUGGGGAUAACCUUGCGAAAGUAAGACUAAUACCCAAUGAUAUCCCACGAAGGCAUCCGAAUGGGAUUAAAGAUUUAUCGGUGAUGGAUGGGGAUGCGUCUGAUUAGCUUGUUGGCGGGGUAACGGCCCACCAAGGCAACGAUCAGUAGGGGUUCUGAGAGGAAGGUCCCCCACAUUGGAACUGAGACACGGUCCAAACUCCUACGGGAGGCAGCAGUGAGGAAUAUUGGUCAAUGGGCGAGAGCCUGAACCAGCCAAGUAGCGUGCAGGACGACGGCCCUAUGGGUUGUAAACUGCUUUUAUAAGGGAAUAAAGUGAGCUACGUGUAGCUUUUUGCAUGUACCUUAUGAAUAAGGACCGGCUAAUUCCGUG
RNAcentral lists this ribosomal RNA (499 nucleotides) under uncultured bacterium. RNAcentral describes it as "bacterial SSU rRNA". It matches the Rfam family "Bacterial small subunit ribosomal RNA", at positions 20 to 507 of the family's 1533-position model. The record is from RNAcentral.